Molecule: ribosomal RNA, 130 nt
Filed under: Prolemur simus (greater bamboo lemur)
Lineage: Eukaryota; Metazoa; Chordata; Mammalia; Primates; Lemuridae
Source: RNAcentral
GUCUACGGCCAUACCACCCUGAACGUGCCCGAUCUUGUCUGAUCUUGGAAGCUAAGCAGGGUCGGGCCUGGUUAGUACUUGGAUGGAAGAAAGAGGGGUUAGGAUGUGAGGGCAAACUGGCUGCUACAUC